AAUUUACUCAAGUUUUUGAAAAAGUUAUUGAUAGUUUUUCAGAUUUAGAUAUAUAAUAGUUUCACGAAACAUGUUUUUUCCUUUUUAUAUCUAUGCUUCUUUGUAUAGUUUGUCUAAAGUAAGGUGUUUCUUUAUUCAUGAAUCAUUAGGUAGUUUAAUCGUGUUUUUGAAGAAACUGUAACUUGAAUGUCUCUCACACAUUUACACGAUACUGAUUACUUAUUUCGGAUUUUGGUAUAUUAUUCUGGAUUUUGAUAUGUUUAUUUAAAGGGUGUAACCGUGUAAGGCAGCACGAAAGCCUAUUGUAGAAGCUUCUCGAAUCGUUAAGGAAACCCCAGUCAUAGUUCAGGGCACAUAAAAAGUUGACACCUUUCAACUAAGGUUGGAAGGUAGGCAGGCCUGUACAUAAGUGAUGGUUCGUUUAGAUGGUUAUGAAAUGUGAAUAAAAUACUUCUUCAUUGAUUUGGAGGGGGUUAGCCUGUUGUAACGCUUGAGAUAGCAUCAAGUAUUUCAGUAGGAUAUAUUAGGUUAAUUCAAUCUAUUACGUUGUGAAGGCUUUACUGUUACUGCUAAAUUAAAAGCAGUUGGUAGAAGAGACUAGAAAGUGAUACUAGACAUGCCGAUCUAAUUACCAAGUUUGAAGAAGCUGAGAAAAGAUCAGACCAGCUUCAAGGCCCUACUCAAAGGUUUUUAGUCAGAUUACUAAAAAUUGAUCUCCAUAUUGGUUGAUGUAAAUGUAUCAAGGUUUGUGUAUUGGUUGAAGGGGAGUUGGAACUUUUAGGGGUUUAGUUAAAUGGAAUGAGGAUAAAGAAGUCGGAAUUGCAUACUAUUCGACAGUUUUAGUCUUUAGGUACUAAUAAUAAUAUCAAUCCUUGCACGUCUUUCCUAAUCAAGUUAAUUUUCUAACUUUAUAUUCCGGAUGGUACGUACACAAAGCAAGAAGUAGUGAAAUUUGAAGCUGAUGUUCUUGCAGCUCUGAAGUUUAAAAUGGGUAUUUCCACAGUAAAGCUAUUUCUUAGAUAGUAUCUAUGGUAAGUGGAUCUGGCAAAAAGAGUAACCUUGGGUUGAGACUUUCACAUUUUCUUCAAGUUUUAUUUUUUUUCUUCAAGCAGUUUUGAUUUCUUUUUUUUUGUCUAACGAGUUUUUUCUGGGUUAUUAGGCUUAAGAUGUGUAUUAGAGAAGUGGUUUUGAUUUCAUCAAGAAAGCAUUAGUGGCAAAUGGAUCUGGCAAUAAGAGUAACCCUGAGUUGGGACUUUCACAUUUCUUCUCUUGUCAGUGUGUUGCAUCAAUUGUGGGCCGUCAAUGGAAAGCUGGUGUUUCCAUUAGCGAAAAAAGUUGUGGAUUUUGAGCCACAAAUUAACUCAAAGAAGCAACAUGCAAAGGGUUAAUAAUCACAUCACUUCUAAUGGACUCGGAAUGCAUGCAAAGCUUGGCUUGAUGGUGUCUCACAACCACGUUGGACACUUCAGUCCAGGAAAAAAGGUGGAUGUGGAUGUGGAUGCUCAUAUUCAACAACUUGAUUAAUAUCUUAAAAAACUAGAAAGGCAACACCAAGACUAGGAAAAUGCUGCUACAGCUGGAUCACCUGCUUUGAACGCUCAUGGCAAUGGGAAACCUGUAAAGGAUGGUGGCUGAGGGCGGACAAAGUCAUGCCUUGUUGAUGCAUCCUCCACAGGCACACCAUCGACCACAAACCCACCCACUGUGGACUUGUACCUACCAAUUAAUCCUAAUAAACCGACAUAUUGUUUAUGCAACCAAGUGAGCUAUGGGAUAUGGUGGCAUGUGAUAACCCUCAAGUAAGUGUAACACUAGAGGUGACGAUAUUUGGAAGAGUCAAAAUGGUUAGGGCCGGGUUGGCUGGAAACACUCAAAAAUUUUCAAUAUUUAUAAAACAUUAGUUUGUCAUAUAUAAGAAUCUAAUUUGGGGAU
Long non-coding RNA from Erigeron canadensis, 1932 nucleotides. RefSeq lists it as uncharacterized. The record is from RefSeq and is a predicted model, not a curated record. Lineage: Eukaryota; Viridiplantae; Streptophyta; Magnoliopsida; Asterales; Asteraceae. The transcript is spliced from 6 exons.